Long non-coding RNA from Strongylocentrotus purpuratus (purple sea urchin), 162 nucleotides. RefSeq lists it as uncharacterized. The record is from RefSeq and is a predicted model, not a curated record. The transcript is spliced from 2 exons. Lineage: Eukaryota; Metazoa; Echinodermata; Echinoidea; Camarodonta; Strongylocentrotidae.
UUCCAUUAUACAGGUCAUGGCGGAAACCAUUCUAGGUUUUGGUAGCCCAAGCCCGGACCCACCCGUUGUCAGGAUUACAUCAGAAGGAAUUCCUAGUGAGCCCCAGGAGGUGGCUGUUUCCAGCAGAUCAAAAUCUUUGCUGAUUACCUGGAAGGAGCCGAG